Molecule: ribosomal RNA, 471 nt
Filed under: uncultured bacterium
Lineage: Bacteria
Description: bacterial SSU rRNA
Rfam family: Bacterial small subunit ribosomal RNA
Source: RNAcentral
UACCAGACUCCUACGGGAGGCAGCAGUGGGGAAUUUUGGACAAUGGGCGCAAGCCUGAUCCAGCUAUUCCGCGUGUGGGAUGACGGCCCUCGGGUUGUAAACCACUUUAGUAGAGAACGAAAAGGAGCUAUCGAAUAAAUAGCUCUGCUGGCGGUACUCUAAGAAUAAGCACCGGCUAACUACGUGCCAGCAGCCGCGGUAAUACGUAGGGUGCGAGCGUUAUCCGGAUUUAUUGGGUUUAAAGGGUGCGCAGGCGGAGGCACAAGUCAGCGGUAAAAGCGCGGGGCUCAACCCCGCUCCGCCGUUGAAACUGUGUCCCUUGAGUGCGCGAAGGGUAGGCGGAAUGCGUGGUGUAGCGGUGAAAUGCAUAGAUAUCACGCAGAACUCCGAUCGCGAAGGCAGCAUACCGGCGCGCAACUGACGCUCAUGCACGAAAGCGUGGGUAUCGAACAGGAUUAGAUACCCGCGUAA